UGGGGAAUUUUGGACAAUGGGCGAAAGCCUGAUCCAGCAAUGCCGCGUGUGUGAAGAAGGCCUUCGGGUUGUAAAGCACUUUUGUCCGGAAAGAAAUCCUUGGCUCUAAUACAGUCGGGGGAUGACGGUACCGGAAGAAUAAGCACCGGCUAACUACGUGCCAGCAGCCGCGGUAAUACGUAGGGUGCAAGCGUUAAUCGGAAUUACUGGGCGUAAAGCGUGCGCAGGCGGUUUGCUAAGACCGAUGUGAAAUCCCCGGGCUCAACCUGGGAACUGCAUUGGUGACUGGCAGGCUAGAGUAUGGCAGAGGGGGGUAGAAUUCCACGUGUAGCAGUGAAAUGCGUAGAGAUGUGGAGGAAUACCGAUGGCGAAGGCAGCCCCCUGGGCCAAUACUGACGCUCAUGCACGAAAGCGUGGGGAGCAAACAGGAUUAGAUACCCUGGUAGUCCACGCCCUAAAACGAUGUCAACUAGUUGUUGGGGAUUCAUUUCCUUAGUAACGUAGCUCAACGCGUGAAGUUGACCGCCUGGGGAGUACGGUCGCAAGAUUAAAACUCAAAUGAAUUGACGGGGUCAU
RNAcentral lists this ribosomal RNA (576 nucleotides) under uncultured bacterium. RNAcentral describes it as "partial 16S ribosomal RNA". It matches the Rfam family "Bacterial small subunit ribosomal RNA", at positions 355 to 922 of the family's 1533-position model. The record is from RNAcentral.